Molecule: non-coding RNA, 84 nt
Organism: Bombyx mori (domestic silkworm)
Lineage: Eukaryota; Metazoa; Arthropoda; Insecta; Lepidoptera; Bombycidae
Source: Rfam
UUAAGUCAAAUUUGUAUGGAGUUGGAAAGAUUGCCUACGUUUGCCGCUAGGGGCGCUGUUCCAACUGCAUACAAAUUUCAGUUA